This 24-nucleotide non-coding RNA is filed under the name Arabidopsis thaliana (thale cress). Lineage: Eukaryota; Viridiplantae; Streptophyta; Magnoliopsida; Brassicales; Brassicaceae. The record is from RNAcentral.
AGAGUGCACGAAGCGCCUCACACU